Molecule: ribosomal RNA, 699 nt
Filed under: uncultured bacterium
Lineage: Bacteria
Description: bacterial SSU rRNA
Rfam family: Bacterial small subunit ribosomal RNA
Source: RNAcentral
AGAGUUUGAUCCUGGCUCAGGACGAACGUUGGCGGUGCGCUUAAUGCAUGCAAGUCGAGGGAGAACCUUUCGAUCCGUAAGGACCGGAUGGGGAAACCGGCGAACGGGUGCGUAACACGUGAGGAACCUGCCCCGAAGACCGGGAUAGCCCGAGGAAACUCGGAUUAAUACCGGAUACCCUCUUUGGACCACAUGGUCUGCUGAGGAAAUGGUCCGCCGCUUCGGGAUGGCCUCGCGGCCUAUCAGCUUGUUGGUGAGGUAACGGCUCACCAAGGCAAAGACGGGUAGCUGGUCUGAGAGGACGAUCAGCCACACUGGGACUGAGACACGGCCCAGACUCCUACGGGAGGCAGCAGCAGGGAAUAUUGCACAAUGGGCGAAAGCCUGAUGCAGCGACACCGCGUGCGGGAUGAAGGCCCUCGGGUUGUAAACCGCUUUCAGGAGGGACGAAAAUGACGGUACCUCCAGAAGAAGGCCCGGCCAACUACGUGCCAGCAGCCGCGGUAAUACGUAGGGGCCAAACGUUGACCGGAUUUAUUGGGCGUAAAGGGCUCGUAGGCGGUUCAACAAGUCGAUCGUGAAAGCCCGGGGCUCAACCCCGGGACGCCGGUCGAAACUGUUGUGACUAGGGUCCGGUAGAGGUGAGUGGAAUUCUCGGUGUAGCGGUGGAAUGCGCAGAUAUCGAGAGGAACACCAGUU